GGGUCCUGUAGGCUGGUUCAGAUUUUGUUUUAUCCUAUUUUGAGACCUAGUUUUCAAUUUGAUGUGAGUUAAUAAUAUUGAAGAGACAGAUUUGAAGUUAUGGAUUAUAAACAGUUUCAUUUCAAAAUACAAGAUUCAGUUUUUUCAAAAUUCACUAUAUUUAUAUUUAUCAUAAAUGAUCUCAAAACACUAAUGUUAAUAAAACUACUAAUAAUGUUGUUAGUACAAAUCAUGACUGAAGAUAUGAAAUCCAGAAUCAAAUCUGAAUCCUCCAAGGUGAUAUGCAAAUUCUUUAAACUGCAGCCUUCUGGCUGAGUUUUUUCAGACCUAAUGUUUUUGCGCACUUAAUGAAUAAUAGUGAAAGUAUGUUUUCGGGCUUUUAUAUCAUUAGCAAAUGAAAAAAGACUUGUGAUUUGUUUUGUAGCAGUGGUCUAGAAAGUAACUAUUGCAAUAAUAAAGUAUGCCUGUACAUGAUUUUUAAAUGCUCCUCAAAAAUCAUUUGCCAACCUAAUAAUUUAAAUGCAUUAAUUUUACAUGUUUAUGGUGAGUUACUGGAC
RNAcentral lists this long non-coding RNA (557 nucleotides) under Androctonus crassicauda. Lineage: Eukaryota; Metazoa; Arthropoda; Arachnida; Scorpiones; Buthidae. The record is from RNAcentral.